AACCAUUCUCACCUGCGGCUAGACCUGCGGAAGGAUCAUUACACAAUAAACAUAUGAAGGCUGCACCGCCAACAGGCGGCAAGGCUGGAGUAUUUUAUUACCCUUGUCUUUUGCGCACUUGUUGUUUCCUGGGCGGGUUCGCCCGCCUCCAGGACCACAUGAUAAACCUUUUUUAUGCAGUUGCAAUCAGCGUCAGUACAACAAAUGUAAAUCAUUUACAACUUUUAACAACGGAUCUCA
This 240-nucleotide unclassified non-coding RNA is filed under the name soil metagenome. RNAcentral describes it as "partial contains 5.8S ribosomal RNA, internal transcribed spacer 2, and large subunit ribosomal RNA". The record is from RNAcentral.